GUUUCAACCUUGAAUACUUUGCCUUUAAAUAAACAGAUAUCAUAAUGUUCAUAAGUUUACACCACUUUUGGGGAAUUUGGGUUAAACUGAAAAUCACUUUUGGCCUUGCUGAUUUAAAUCUUCACUUGUGUACCAUUUUGCAGAUGUCUUGUGGGUGGUGGUGGUGUUGUUGUUGUAGUAUAACACAUUUCAAUAUGAAAAGGAACAUUAUUCUGGGGGAGUUUGAAACAUGUAGAUAUCCUGUAGAUGUGCAUAAGUUUGCGAUUUACGUAAGAAUUUCUGUUUACGAUGAAAUAUUGAUGAGCUUUGAAUAUUGCAUAGAUUCUGUAUGUUUCUCUCUUGUUUAAUGAGAUACAUGUGUUUUCUGUACUGGACCAUGCUUUUUCCAGUUAAUAAUGCUAAUGACCCUGGCAGUAAUGAUUUGUUUUUUCCCCUCUGAAACCUUGUAACAACAGUCACAAAAACUCUUCCUUUAGGUCUUCAUGGUCUUUCAUUCAGGGAUGACCUCAACUUUAUCUUCACUUUUUCUUUUUUUAGAUUUAGUCUGCUUCACACUACGUUCACUUAAUGCCUUUAUAUCGUCUUACGCUUUUGUGCAGGGCAUAGUAAUUGUGCCCUCGCAAUAUGCUACAUUAAUACAGAGCAAUUACCUGUAAUGAAAAUGCUACAGAAAUACCACUGCAUUUAUUUUCUUUCACGCAUUUACUCUCGCAGGGAAUCUUUUUUUUUUUUUUUUCCUUAUAAUUCCCAGGUGCUGGACUUGUUGCUUUCUAAAAACUAUUACUGUUGCAAAUGGUUCUUUCAAGAUCUCUGCAGAGAAAAACACUGUGUGAAAUGUGUGAAAAACACUACAACAAAAAAACCUAGUGCUCUAAUAAUAACCUAACAGCAAGCACCUUAACCUGUGCGUGGGAAUAUCCAACAUAAAAGUACCUUGCUUUUUAUAAACAUAAGUGUAUCAACAAGUGCACAGAUUGUUAAAGAUGCUGUUUACCACGGUAGUUGAACUGAAACUAGCUUGUCUGAUCAAAAGAGAGAUGAAGAGAUAAACUUAAAUGUCAGUCAACCAGUUCAAGGUCUUGACAGAGACUAACUUCGAAGGUCGCUGAACACCCACUACACUCUGAAAUCACCCAACCACCCGCCAAGCACACAGAAACACAAACAACCAUGACACACACACAAAAACCCAGUUCCCUCCACCUCCACACCCUCUUAAUCCUUUGCAGGUGACUGCUGUGUGUGAUGGUUAGAGAGGAAGAGCCAUAGGGAGGGAGCUUAUGUGAAACAGGAAAGGGUGGGAAAGUGAUUUAAGGGAAAACUGUGGCUUUAUUGUUUAUUUUCUCUAAGAGGGUGUUUGUUAAAGCCUUCCAUGGAAGAAAAAGAGAAGAACAUUCUCAGGAACUUGGCUUCAUUUUACAAUUAUUUAUUCAUUUAUUUCUUUUCAAUCAUUAAUAAUUUGAUUAAACUGAUUAUUUUCAUGCAGGAGGGGUGAGUGAACAGGUACAUGGUGUGCUUUUUUUAAAACUUUUUUGACUAAACUCAAACUGUGUGUUAAAACACUUUUGGCAAGCUUGGACAAUGUUACUCAAACAUAAAAGACAGAGCGCUACGAUACAAAUAUGCUCAAAUGCUUACACCUGUCUGGACAGAGCUGCAGGAAUGAUGUGCUUUGGCCUCUGGUCACAGUUUAAUUAAACUGUACAUCACUUUGUUGCAUGAACACUCUAACGCAGUGAAGAAAAAAACUUUUUUUCUCUCUCCAGCUUUAAUCAGACUAGCCACUUUAUCCUUUUCUGCCUGUUUGGUUUCUGUUUUUAUGCAGUUCCUCAUAGUCUCUAUCUUGCACACACAUGCAGUCCCAACAUGCUAAAUCAUGCAGCACAAACUGCAAGGUGCAGAAGUUUCUCCUGCUCCCCUCUUCUUUCCGAAAUUAUUAGGAUUUCCUGCUGAGCAGGGUAGUGUGCUCCACUGCUGGGUUGGAACUGUAGGGUCACACUGGAAGGCUAAAGCCCUGAGCCUACUUCCACUUCACUUUGCUUCUUUAGAUGGGACACUUUUUAUCCUGACCUUCAGGCCAGAGAGAGGAUAGUUCACAGCUCACAGAGGGCUGAGAACUAUUCAGUCUGAAACAACUCACUCUAUUUAUGAUGCCAGAAAAACGCAGUGCCAAAACUGCAGUUUAUCUCGCAUCAUACAAACAGACACCCACACAACUUGCUAUCUUUUGACUGGUUGGACAAGCAAAAUAAAAAAAAGGCAUCUGGAUCACUUGGCCCACAGCCACAAACAAACUGAGCAUUAAGACACACAAUCAACAUCGCACACCUCUGGUCGCGGGUGCUUGGGUGAACGAGAGAGGCAAUAAUUGAAAAUAGGCUCGCUUCAGAAAGCAUGACACAAAAACCAAGAGGGGAACCAAGAGCAUUUUGCUCUGUUUUUAUGCGGGAGUUUGAAGGUACUUGGGAUGGGUCAGAGAGGGUGUCUGACCAGGCCCAGUUGGUCAGGCUUAGGGGUGGGGUGAAGGAAGAGAGGGGGCAGGUAGAGGGUUAAAUCCUGGCUGCCAUGGCUAAUGCCUCAAUCUUCUUGCUUCCCUUGCUACAACAACAUGGGAUCAACAAAGACAGGAUCAACAAAGCUCCAGCCAAAAUCCUCCGACGCACUGACACAGAAAAUUCCCAGUCCUCCCCAGGCCGCACAGGGAACAGCAAACACACACUAACAGACACACACACGCACAUAUACACAUAUCUCCGACUGCUUAGGGAACAACAAACAAAGGCGGUAAAUACAGCUGCAGACGGCUGGGCAGAUAACAGCCAAUCCCUAUCCCCAACUUGUUCCGUGGCUCAGUGGCUACUGACUGCCCUCUGCAGCUCGCUGCCUUGGCCAUGCCUUCUACACAGCACAAACACCUGCUGCUUAAUGCUUCAACUCACUCAAUUACAACAGCCCUCGUCAGACUGCAAACUUUCUCUCCUCCUGCUACUGCAAAACUUUUCUCCACUUGGAGCUUUUUUUCCAUCAUUUUUGGUGGAUUUGCAGUUGUCAUUUAUGUAGAGUUGACUGAGGUCAUGUUGGCUCAAGUCAAAAUUUUUUAACAAUACAAUUUAGUCUAUAUUUAUUAUACAGUAUAUCCAAAUAUUAUAGAUAUCAUGAAUUGGGGUAUCCCAUUGGGAUGGCACGGCCCCCAACAGACUCUGGAAUCUAUCUUCUCUUCAUCAGUUUCACAUGUGGUUGUCCAAAAGAUAAAGAUUACACUGAUCUACACUUUUGCAUACCAACAUACAUUCAUGACAGCACAGUACAGCAACUGAUCCUUUUUUUCACUCACUUUGAUUUUAAAAGAAUAGAGGAAACUUGGCCGAACUUCAACUUCUGUCUGAGAAGGACAGUAGGUACUGUGAUUUCUAAUCUGGAGGUGGAGAAUUCACAGUGAACCAGAGUGUGAUCUGCAAGGGAAUCCCAAACAUGCAAGUAUGGCAAUAAUUGGCAUUAACCUCCCACAGGUUGAUCAGAAUGAAGCCUAGAACAAAGAAAAGUGUUGUGCAAAACUUCUGAAGUCAAAGUCACUGUGGUGUGUGGCAACAUGGCCAGUUUGUAUCAACACCUGAGACCGCACAGAGAAAAGCAUGAUGCAUGUCUGUAAAUGAGGGGCCAGGUAAGUAAAGACAAAGACAAGGAGACAGCUCAAGGAUGUCGAAACAACAUCAGAGAAAAAUGACAGAAACUCAGGAGUCAUUUACACCUGUUGUCAAGGUGAUCAGAUCAUACAUGGAUCAUACAUGAGGUACAAAUGUUCUGAUAUGAUCGAAUUUUGCUAUUUUGUCAGUGAUGGUCUUUUUCUGAAUCUUAAAUCAUGUGGGGUUUGACACUAACUGUUACCAAUCAUCGGUGGUGGGUCCUCCACCACUUCACAUGGGUAGCAAGCCAUCAGGUGAGCCUGCAAAUUUGUUAUUGAGUAAGUCAGCUACUUUGUACGAAGUUACGAUCCAGCUUUAUCUUUGUUUUUUUUCCUGCCUAUUGUGUAGAUCCCAAAAUACUUCAACACUGCACUUUUUAUAUGUUUUGGUGCCCUGACCGUGUGCAUCACAGAUACAUAUAGAAGACUAGAUACGCCAGCACGCUGUAGCAGUGCACUGUAGCAGCCCGCAAAGCAACGGGCCUACGUGGCAGCCAUCUUGGCUGGGGCCACAGUCCUAUUUAAGGCAUGAGCUGUAAACGGAAAAUAAAUCAUAACAUGCUCAUUUCUCAACCAAUUUUCUUGCGGUUGACUUGAUUUUCAACACCAAAACGUGCUUUUAAUACAGAACAUUUGAUUUUUUAAACUUUUUUAUCAAAUGCUCUGUAUUAAUAGCACAUGUUUAGCAUUGACAUUAAAAGAACUGACUUUAAAAAAAUCAGUUGAGAAAUGGGCAAGUUAUGAUUUAUUUUCAUUGUACAUGCAUUGCCUUUAAUGGGAACCAUGCCCCCACCAAGAUGGCUGCCCUGUAGGCACGCAGCUCAAAGGGGCAUGUCUUAUCUACUAUUUAUAUCUGUGGUGUGCACAAUAUUGUGGCUUUGCAUGACCAUGUCCUUCACUUUUUUUUUGUUGAACAACAUUGUUUAUUUGUUUAUUGAGGUCAAGAGUGCAUAGAUUGGCCAGGUUACAAUAACAGCGCCCUCUGCUGCAUUGCACAGCAAGCUACUGCUGCCUGAUGUGUUGGUAUACUGUAUCAUCAUGAGUUUAAAAGGUUUAUUGUAGUGACAAUAUGAACUUUUCUGAUAGAGUUUAAACAUCAGAUAAAAGAGGACAGCCCUUCUUACCUCUCUUCCCGUUAAUGUGCUUCUCCAUUAAAUUUCUGGCGAGCUUUUGGCUCAUGUUUAAAAAAAUCACCAGAGCAUCUUUUCUCUUCUUGUUUUUUCAUAAUUCAAAAUGUAUUAAUGUUUGUAUAUACCCAAUAGAAAAAUACACAUUAAAAAACUAAAGUCUCUGCAUGUUCCUGGAUAACAAAGCUGUAAGACUCUUUAUACUAUUUAUCAUUUCACAAUGUCAAAUCUUUAUAUAUUGUCCACUAUAAUCACAAUCGCACAAUUUUGGUUUUAUACUGCCUUCAUUUAUCAAAAUAAGACUAUAUGAUCAUUUAUUUUUUGUACUACAGUGGAAAUAGAGUGGAGACAGAAAUUGGAAAUAAAUCCAAUUCAGACAUAUAUGUUUGUAUGCACUACUUCAUGCCAACACUGCAUAAAUCAGUGCCUCAGUCUGGGCAUGUCACCUGCACUUUAACACAUGUGAAUACACCUCAGCACACAGAGUGCAGAAAAAGGCCACUCUGGCCUGCGUUUCAUGGGACAGACAUGGCCCUGGACAAACACACCAAUGUCUGGAUGGAGAGACAGAGAAACAGACUCUACGCAAAGGAAGAGAUAGAGAGAGAGAGAGAGAGAGAGAGAGAGAGAGAGAGAGAGGCAGAGAGAUAAAGACACGGAGGGAGGAGAUGUGAGGCUUCAGCAGGAAAGCAGUGUUUGAUGUAAUCCAGGAAGUUAGUUCAGUAACUCCAUCCCUCCAUCCCUCCGUCUAAGUGAAGGACAGCAGAAGGAGGGAUGAAGGAGGCCCUUGUCUGGAGAGCCAGGGGUUUUCCACAUCUGUCCUCCGCAUUGUAGCCAGCCUCUCUAAACAGCCCAGGAGUCUGUUAUGGCUGGGGGAGGCGCACACACACACACACACACACACACACACACACACAGCAGCUAUGUCUGAGUGAGCCUUGUGGAACGCUUUAACACUGAUUGCAGUUAAGCGUUAAAUCAUCCAUACUAAAGUUACCAGUGAGAGAAAACACAUCAGGGCUGGCUUCAUAGCUGGGCGAUGUCUAUGUUUCAUGCUUGUUGGUCUGCACAUACGUGUGUGUGUGUGUGUGUGUGUUUAUGAAAUGCCAGUCACGCAACACUACCCUGCCUGCUGAAGGGAUCCUUGUCUUUCUUUUUUCUCCUUUACCUCCUUUUUUUUUUUUUCCUCUGGAAUGCUCUCACUUGCCUUUCUUUCUUCGGGAUACAUGACAGGUGCCCCCCCAUCCCUCCUUCCACCCCCCACUCUGAACCCCCUCUCCACUCCAUACAUCACAACAGCACACUGGCUAAAGCUUCGAGGUGCCACAUAAACAAAGAUGAGCACGUGCACUACACUGGCUCAGCUCUUCAGUGAAGGCCUUGGGCAGACGCCACAGGGAGUUAGGGCUCUUUUUUUUCUCUGCUCAUUUGUGCCCCUUGUGGUUGAACAGGAGAAUGACUGUGGCUAUGGUUUUAAUGAGGGCAAAAGAGAUGAGGGUCAGGUCACCGUCUUCAAUUUCUCACAGUUUAGGAGAGCUAGAAGCGUGUAAUCAACAAGGAUUAUAGUAAAUAGUUUCCCAAAGCAGAAAUCACACCAUGAAAGAAAUGCAUCAAUCCAUCAACCUUAUAGAGCCAUUCUUUAAAAGUUAUCUCAUGACUAUGUACCUCAAGAGCAAGACCCUCUCAUUAAAUCUUGAAAAGAUCCCAAGAUUAAAGUAUUAUGAGCACUGGAGAAAAAACUCAAAUAGGAGCAGACUUAUUGGUGUACAGUGAGACUGGGAAAAAACACUGAUUCUAUAAUAUCCCCUCAAGUGUCAGCCAGUUUCAUGUCACACGACUCCACAUUGUAGUGCACCUAGUAUGAGCUUAAGGUGAGUGGCAGGUAUUGGCUGGAGGAGUUGAUGAGGACCGCAGAGUAUCAGACAAAAGCCAAAUAAAGCUAAGAAAUACAGAAGCUAUUUUGAAAAUUAAAAGGAAGUAAAAAAAAAAAAGCAUCCCAGUUCUCUAUGCAGAAGAAAUGAUGAAGGACGCACUCAGGUUUUCAGAGUCACAUUCGUCUGUCACAAUUGGACUUCAUAUUGUGUUGAACUAUUUAGUGUUGACAGCAAUGUCUGUGCCUUUCUAUUUAUUAACUCAAAAUACAUCAUAAACAUAUUAAUGGCAAAGACAAGUUAUUUCAAACUGAAAAUACCACAAUUCUCAUUAUAAAACUGAACUGUUGAGUACAACAGCUAUGGUUCAAGAUUAUAAUGAGAACUGCGGUAUUUUUGGUUUUGUAGUAACUACCUUCCUUCCAUUAUAUUCCUCUCUGAAUAAGCUCUGUUUGUGUAUGUACCUGCAAAUUCACACGCUGGAAUGAUGAAACAUCCAAGCACCACAGGCUAUGCUACGGGCAGAGCCACUGCUUUUACAUGCAGAAUUUUGCCCCAAGCACUGAGAGCAGCAGGUAGCACUGUCAGACCUAGCAUCUAGUGUAAAUGCGGCAUAAAUGCAAAGAAAAAUUUAAUAACUAAAUAAAAGGCUCAGGGGUUUACUAGGAAGCCAGAUUUGGAGGGAAUAUCAGGUCUGUUGAUUUUAAAGUCAAAGUUUCAGUGUCACUAAGAUGCCUCUCUACCAUUUCAAUGUUUCCCCUAGAAUGGGAAGAAUGGGAAUUUACUGUAUCUGUGUGUGUGUGUGUGUGUGUGUGUGUGUGGGGGGGGGGGGGGGGGUUAAUCAGCUGUCAUUGCUG
RNAcentral lists this long non-coding RNA (7537 nucleotides) under Xyrichtys novacula (pearly razorfish). Lineage: Eukaryota; Metazoa; Chordata; Actinopteri; Labriformes; Labridae. The record is from RNAcentral.